Molecule: ribosomal RNA, 896 nt
Filed under: uncultured archaeon
Lineage: Archaea
Description: SSU rRNA
Rfam family: Archaeal small subunit ribosomal RNA
Source: RNAcentral
GUGCCAGCAGCCGCGGUAAUACCAGCCCCGCGAGUGGUUGGGACGUUUACUAGGCCUAAAGCGCCUGUAGCCGGCCCUGUAAGUCCCUCCCUAAAGGCCCGGGCUCAACCCGGGAACCGGGAGGGAUACUGCAGGGCUAGGGGGCGGGAGAGGCGGGGGGUACUCCCGGAGUAGGGGCGAAAUCCGUAGAUCCCGGGAGGACCACCAGUGGCGAAGGCGCCCCGCUAGAACGCGCCCGACGGUGAGAGGCGAAAGCCGGGGCAGCAAAAGGGAUUAGAUACCCCUGUAGUCCCGGCUGUAAACGAUGCCGGCUAGGUGUCGCGUGGGCUUAGAGCCCACGCGGUGCCGCAGGGAAGCCGUUAAGCCGGCCGCCUGGGGAGUACGGCCGCAAGGCUGAAACUUAAAGGAAUAGGCGGGGGAGCACCACAAGGGGUGGAACCUGCGGCUCAAUUGGAGUCAACACCUGGAAGCUUACCGGGGGAGACCGCAGGAUGACGGCCAGGCUAACGACCUUGCCUGACUCGCGGAGAGGAGGUGCAUGGCCGUCGCCAGUUCGUGUUGUGAAAUGUCCGGUUAAGUCCGGCAACGAGCGAGACCCCCACCCCUAGUUGGUACCCUGGCCUCCGGGCCAGGGCCACACUAGGGGGACUGCCGCCGUAAGGCGGAGGAAGGAGGGGGCCACGGCAGGUCAGCAUGCCCCGAAACCCCCGGGCCGCACGCGGGUUACAAUGGCAGGGACAGCGGGAUCCUGCCCCGAGAGGGGUGGGCAAUCCCUAAACCCUGCCUCAGUUGGGAUCGAGGGCUGCAACUCGCCCUCGUGAACGAGGAAUCCCUAGUAACCGCAGGUCACCAACCUGCGGUGAAUACGUCCCUGCUCCUUGCACACACCGCCCGUC